UAGAGUUUGAUCCUGGCUCACCUUGAACGCUGGCGGCAUGCCUAACACAUGCAAGUCGAACGGCAGCACAGGUAGCAAUACCGGGUGGCGAGUGGCGGACGGGUGAGGANNNNAUCGGGACCUGCCCAGACGUGGGGGAUAACGUAGGGAAACUUACGCUAAUACCGCAUACGUCCUACGGGAGAAAGCGGGGGAUCUUCGGACCUCGCGCGGUUGGAUGGACCGAUGUUCGAUUAGCUAGUUGGUGAGGUAAUGGCUCACCAAGGCGACGAUCGAUAGCUGGUCUGAGAGGAUGAUCAGCCACACUGGGACUGAGACACGGCCCAGACUCCUACGGGAGGCAGCAGUGGGGAAUAUUGGACAAUGGGCGCAAGCCUGAUCCAGCAAUGCCGCGUGUGUGAAGAAGGCCUUCGGGUUGUAAAGCACUUUUAUCAGGAGCGAAAUACUACGGGUUAAUACCUCGUGGGGCUGACGGUACCUGAGGAAUAAGCACCGGCUAACUUCGUGCCAGCAGCCGCGGUAAUACGAAGGGUGCAAGCGUUAAUCGGAAUUACUGGGCGUAAAGCGUGCGUAGGCGGUUUUUUAAGUCUGCUNNNANAUCCCCGGGCUCAACCNNGGAA
Molecule: ribosomal RNA, 620 nt
Filed under: bacterium enrichment culture clone PF-2_18
Lineage: Bacteria
Description: bacterial SSU rRNA
Rfam family: Bacterial small subunit ribosomal RNA
Source: RNAcentral